GACGAACGCUGGCGGCGUGCUUAACACAUGCAAGUCGAACGGAAAGGCCCUGCUUUUGUGGGGUGCUCGAGUGGCGAACGGGUGAGUAACACGUGAGUAUCCCGCCCUUAACUUUGGGAUAACUUCAGGAAACUGGGGCUAAUACCGGAUAGGAGCUCCUGAUGCAUGUUGGGGGAUGGAAAGUUUCGGCGGUGGGGGAUGGACUCGCGGCUUAUCCGCUUGUUGGUGGGGUAGUGGAUUACCAAGGGUUUGACGGGUAGCCGGCCUGAGAGGGUGACCGGCCACAUUGGGACUGAGAGACGGACCAGACGCCUACGGGAGGCAGCAGUGGGGAAUAUGGCACAAUGGGGGGAAGCGUGAUGCAGCAGCGCCGCGUGCGGGAUGACGGCCUUCGGGUUGUAAACCGCUUUCGCCUGUGACGAAGCGUGAGUGACGGUAAUGGGUAAAGAAGCACCGGCUAACUACGUG
Molecule: ribosomal RNA, 468 nt
Filed under: uncultured bacterium
Lineage: Bacteria
Description: partial 16S ribosomal RNA
Rfam family: Bacterial small subunit ribosomal RNA
Source: RNAcentral